GACAGACACAGGGAUUUAGUGAUACCAAAAACUUUUUGCUUUACACUUCGCCGGUAAUCUGACUUCACUCGCCGGAAUAUACUUCCACCGGUUUAGAAAACAGUUGAGAAAAGAAAGGAAAACAAAAUUCUGGGUGAAGGGUUGUUACCAGGCACAUAAGAUUUGAGUUUCUAGAAGCGGCAAUAUCAUAUAUGUGA
This is a long non-coding RNA of Coffea eugenioides, 197 nucleotides long. RefSeq lists it as uncharacterized. The transcript has 3 exons. NCBI's taxonomy places the organism in Eukaryota, Viridiplantae, Streptophyta, Magnoliopsida, Gentianales, Rubiaceae. The record is from RefSeq and is a predicted model, not a curated record.